This 213-nucleotide long non-coding RNA is filed under the name Phoenix dactylifera (date palm). Its description in RNAcentral is "long non-coding RNA (PDAC_LNC011311)". Lineage: Eukaryota; Viridiplantae; Streptophyta; Magnoliopsida; Arecales; Arecaceae. The record is from RNAcentral.
AGCUAGGAAAGAAGGUAUGGAAGUGGGAGAGAACAUUUAGGAAAGAGAUUUCAAAGAGAUUACAAGAGAAAUCUUCCAAAAGCACAAAAGGGCCAUUCAAAGUAAAAGAGAGAGAAGAAGAGCAUCCAAGUGAAUUCCAAAGCUUCCUCUCCAACUGUGUGCUGCCUCGGUGAUCCUCUACCUCGUGCAAAAUCAGAAGAGGGUCAAGUAAAG